CUUCGUCGAUCUGCUGCGGGCAGAUGAAAUGAAUGUGGGUGUCGAUGCCGCCAGCGGUAAUGAUGCAGCCCUCGCCGGCGAGGACCUCGGUGCAGGCGCCGACAAUCAUCGGGUUUUUGCGCCCUGUCUUGGGGUCGGCGUAUGCAGAACCGAGUCCGGACUGGAUGCCGGGAUUGCCGGCGUGGCCGAUGCCGACGAUGAGGCCGUGCUUGAUACCGAUGUCGGCUUUGAUGAUGCCGAGUUGUGCGUCGAGAAUCAGUGCGUUGGUAAUGACAAGGUCGAGUGACUCGGCAUCCGUGGCGGUGGACGACUGGCCCAUGCCGUCGCGGAUG
RNAcentral lists this small RNA (332 nucleotides) under Verrucomicrobia bacterium IMCC26134. RNAcentral describes it as "5' ureB small RNA". It matches the Rfam family "5' ureB small RNA". The record is from Rfam by way of RNAcentral. Lineage: Bacteria; Pseudomonadati; Verrucomicrobiota.